AGCGUACACGGUGGAUGCCCUGGCAGUCAGAGGCGAUGAAGGACGUGCUAAUCUGCGAUAAGCGUCGGUAAGGUGAUAUGAACCGUUAUAACCGGCGAUUUCCGAAUGGGGAAACCCAGUGUGUUUCGACACACUAUCAUUAACUGAAUCCAUAGGUUAAUGAGGCGAACCGGGGGAACUGAAACAUCUAAGUACCCCGAGGAAAAGAAAUCAACCGAGAUUCCCCCAGUAGCGGCGAGCGAACGGGGAGCAGCCCAGAGCCUGAAUCAGUGUGUGUGUUAGUGGAAGCGUCUGGAAAGGCGCGCGAUACAGGGUGACAGCCCCGUACACAAAAAUGCACAUGCUGUGAGCUCGAUGAGUAGGGCGGGACACGUGGUAUCCUGUCUGAAUAUGGGGGGACCAUCCUCCAAGGCUAAAUACUCCUGACUGACCGAUAGUGAACCAGUACCGUGAGGGAAAGGCGAAAAGAACCCCGGCGAGGGGAGUGAAAAAGAACCUGAAACCGUGUACGUACAAGCAGUGGGAGCACGCUUAGGCGUGUGACUGCGUACCUUUUGUAUAAUGGGUCAGCGACUUAUAUUCUGUAGCAAGGUUAACCGAAUAGGGGAGCCGAAGGGAAACCGAGUCUUAACUGGGCGUUAAGUUGCAGGGUAUAGACCCGAAACCCGGUGAUCUAGCCAUGGGCAGGUUGAAGGUUGGGUAACACUAACUGGAGGACCGAACCGACUAAUGUUGAAAAAUUAGCGGAUGACUUGUGGCUGGGGGUGAAAGGCCAAUCAAACCGGGAGAUAGCUGGUUCUCCCCGAAAGCUAUUUAGGUAGCGCCUCGUGAAUUCAUCUCCGGGGGUAGAGCACUGUUUCGGCAAGGGGGUCAUCCCGACUUACCAACCCGAUGCAAACUGCGAAUACCGGAGAAUGUUAUCACGGGAGACACACGGCGGGUGCUAACGUCCGUCGUGAAGAGGGAAACAACCCAGACCGCCAGCUAAGGUCCCAAAGUCAUGGUUAAGUGGGAAACGAUGUGGGAAGGCCCAGACAGCCAGGAUGUUGGCUUAGAAGCAGCCAUCAUUUAAAGAAAGCGUAAUAGCUCACUGGUCGAGUCGGCCUGCGCGGAAGAUGUAACGGGGCUAAACCAUGCACCGAAGCUGCGGCAGCGACGCUGAUGCGUUGUUGGGUAGGGGAGCGUUCUGUAAGCCUGUGAAGGUGUGCUGUGAGGCAUGCUGGAGGUAUCAGAAGUGCGAAUGCUGACAUAAGUAACGAUAAAGCGGGUGAAAAGCCCGCUCGCCGGAAGACCAAGGGUUCCUGUCCAACGUUAAUCGGGGCAGGGUGAGUCGACCCCUAAGGCGAGGCCGAAAGGCGUAGUCGAUGGGAAACAGGUUAAUAUUCCUGUACUUGGUGUUACUGCGAAGGGGGGACGGAGAAGGCUAUGUUGGCCGGGCGACGGUUGUCCCGGUUUAAGCGUGUAGGCUGGUUUUCCAGGCAAAUCCGGAAAAUCAAGGCUGAGGCGUGAUGACGAGGCACUACGGUGCUGAAGCAACAAAUGCCCUGCUUCCAGGAAAAGCCUCUAAGCAUCAGGUAACAUCAAAUCGUACCCCAAACCGACACAGGUGGUCAGGUAGAGAAUACCAAGGCGCUUGAGAGAACUCGGGUGAAGGAACUAGGCAAAAUGGUGCCGUAACUUCGGGAGAAGGCACGCUGAUAUGUAGGUGAAGCGACUUGCUCGUGGAGCUGAAAUCAGUCGAAGAUACCAGCUGGCUGCAACUGUUUAUUAAAAACACAGCACUGUGCAAACACGAAAGUGGACGUAUACGGUGUGACGCCUGCCCGGUGCCGGAAGGUUAAUUGAUGGGGUCAGCGCAAGCGAAGCUCUUGAUCGAAGCCCCGGUAAACGGCGGCCGUAACUAUAACGGUCCUAAGGUAGCGAAAUUCCUUGUCGGGUAAGUUCCGACCUGCACGAAUGGCGUAAUGAUGGCCAGGCUGUCUCCACCCGAGACUCAGUGAAAUUGAACUCGCUGUGAAGAUGCAGUGUACCCGCGGCAAGACGGAAAGACCCCGUGAACCUUUACUAUAGCUUGACACUGAACAUUGAGCCUUGAUGUGUAGGAUAGGUGGGAGGCUUUGAAGUGUGGACGCCAGUCUGCAUGGAGCCGACCUUGAAAUACCACCCUUUAAUGUUUGAUGUUCUAACGUUGACCCGUAAUCCGGGUUGCGGACAGUGUCUGGUGGGUAGUUUGACUGGGGCGGUCUCCUCCUAAAGAGUAACGGAGGAGCACGAAGGUUGGCUAAUCCUGGUCGGACAUCAGGAGGUUAGUGCAAUGGCAUAAGCCAGCUUGACUGCGAGCGUGACGGCGCGAGCAGGUGCGAAAGCAGGUCAUAGUGAUCCGGUGGUUCUGAAUGGAAGGGCCAUCGCUCAACGGAUAAAAGGUACUCCGGGGAUAACAGGCUGAUACCGCCCAAGAGUUCAUAUCGACGGCGGUGUUUGGCACCUCGAUGUCGGCUCAUCACAUCCUGGGGCUGAAGUAGGUCCCAAGGGUAUGGCUGUUCGCCAUUUAAAGUGGUACGCGAGCUGGGUUUAGAACGUCGUGAGACAGUUCGGUCCCUAUCUGCCGUGGGCGCUGGAGAACUGAGGGGGGCUGCUCCUAGUACGAGAGGACCGGAGUGGACGCAUCACUGGUGUUCGGGUUGUCAUGCCAAUGGCACUGCCCGGUAGCUAAAUGCGGAAGAGAUAAGUGCUGAAAGCAUCUAAGCACGAAACUUGCCCCGAGAUGAGUUCU
This 2773-nucleotide ribosomal RNA is filed under the name Escherichia coli. RNAcentral describes it as "bacterial LSU rRNA". It matches the Rfam family "Bacterial large subunit ribosomal RNA". The record is from RNAcentral. Lineage: Bacteria; Pseudomonadati; Pseudomonadota; Gammaproteobacteria; Enterobacterales; Enterobacteriaceae.